UAUCCUUCCAGGGCUUGAUUCUGGUUCAGACAGAAUAACUCAUGGGGAUGUGAACCUGGGGAAAAGAUGAAAUGACUUGAUCAUUUCAGUGGGGCAAAUGGAAGUCCAGCUGAUAUUAAGCAUUGUUACCUUCGGGGUGGGGGAUGGACGGGAUGGAGAAGAAAGGAUCAUUUCAAAUGUAGAUGAAGACAACUGGUGAUUAAUGUCAUUUGGACAGUUUUGGGAUCAGGUUCAGAGGGUAUGUGUGAAAAGGUGUAAGUUGUGCUUUGGUACCUGGGUGUAUGAGAACUAUGGGAAUCUAAACGGAUAUAAUCUCCAUGUCAAGGAUCUGGAAGAGAGGGGUCUAGAAGGAAAAACAAGUCACCCUUAAGAGGGUAAGAAGAUCUAAGUUAGAGUAAGACCACUACUUUGUUAAACCGCCUUCAAAUCUUCUUGAAUAGUGCACUUCUAGUCUCUGCAAUCAACAUGGCAAAUAAAGGAUUUAGACCUGGAAGUUAUAAAAUGGUGCAAAACCCUGAAGCCCUCUAGUCCAUCAUCCAGCUUUUGCAAGACUUUUUCUUGUGUGCAAAAGUGUUGUCCAGCUAUGGUAUUUAAAGUCAAGUAAAGCCCUGCCUUUGCCUUAAA
This is a long non-coding RNA of Mauremys reevesii (Reeves's turtle), 624 nucleotides long. RefSeq lists it as uncharacterized. The transcript has 2 exons. NCBI's taxonomy places the organism in Eukaryota, Metazoa, Chordata, Testudines, Geoemydidae. The record is from RefSeq and is a predicted model, not a curated record.